UUUUUUUUUUUUUCCUCUUCAGGGCCACACCUGUGGCAUAUGGAAGGUCCCAGGCCAGGGAUCAAAUCAGAGCUGCAGCUCCCAGCCUACGCCACAGCCACAGCCACGGGGAUCUGAGCCAUGUUGGUGACCUCAACGCCGGAUCCUUAACCCACUGAGCGAGGCCAGGGACCAAACCCGCACCCUCAUGGAUGUUAGUCACCUUCUCAACCUGCUGAGCCACAACAGGAACUUCCAUAAAAACAGUUUUUUUAAAGGAAAAGGGCUAUCUAUCCCAGCAUCCCAACCAACCAAGGGGUCACGAAGCAGCGGACUCACAGUGGCACGUGGGUCUCCGGGAGCAGAGAAAAAAAACAGACUCAAGUUUUAUUAACUGUCACCCAAGGGUACGCAAGAGGUUUCACAAAUAAUUAAUCUUCGUUGGAAAGGUUUUGAAAUAUUCCAGGUAGUGGACAAAAAGGCCAGGGAAGGAAAAAAGUCAACACGAACACCUCACCGCACCUAAAGGUCCACACCAAGGAAGGAAGGGCGACCCCGGAAGACAUGUCGUCCGGAGUGUUUCUACCGGAUAACUCUAGGGGGGCAGGUCCCCAAGACAGAGAGGACUCCGGUCAUCAGGAGGCCGAAGGCAGGAGCGAUGUCCCUUGGUUUGGAGGAACCAGGACCUGCUUCUGACAAUCCAUUUUGGUUCCUGCCUCAUACAACAAAUUUCUGCUUAAUUGCUGUUUUGCAUUUCGUUGAGACAUCGGGUAAACAGUACUUAAGUGUUUCCAGACAAAAACAAUAACUCACUAAUGACUAAGGCCCUGCUAAUUAAAAUGCCCCCGUGAUGGCGUGACUGGACUCAGAGCCACCACAGGGAACAGAAGUGCCCGGGCCUUGAAUGCACCAACCAGAACGCGGACGUAAGGGGUGGAGGUCACGAUGGCCCUCUGGUUGCAGACAAGGGAGCCCCUUACAGGAACUGGCGGGGAUGGGGAGAGUGGGAGGAGCUGGCAGGGGAGGGGAGGGCACAGGGAUUUGUACAUUCUAGAACCUGGCAUGGCCCUCAAGACUAGAGUGCCCAUGAUGCCCGGAAGAAAAGAAAACAAAUAAAAUGCAUGUGCCAUACCCUAGAAGGGGAGACACCAAGAGGUGUUAAACUGACCUGAGAAGAGACCACACUUCUCCUGCAGAAGAGGGUCCAAAAGCCGAAGUUUCCAACUACACUUUAAAAAAGAGAAAGGAUUCAGCAAGGGGGAAACGGAGGUAAACGAUACCACCCGCUCUGCGCCAAAGCACCAGUUUAACCAAACGAUCAAGAUUCCCAAGUGCUUGGGACACAGAAAACUUCUCUCCCUCGCAAACAGGAGAGCAAAAUAACCAGCCUUCCCCUUAACAGAAGGCUGCUUCUCUGCUCUCUGCAACUCUUGGUCCAAAGACGAGGCCUCCCAACACCACGUAUUCAAUCUCCACCUUCAAAACCAAAAAGAAAAGAAAAGAGGGCGCCCAGAGUCCUGGGGCUGGCAAAGGACCUUCUCUUGCUCCCAGCGGGUUAAAGACCUGCUAGUUAGCAAGGAAGAGGGUGGGGACAGUCGUUGAAACCACAGGGGCCUAAUACCCAUUUGUAUUCACACUCAGACCCUUUAGGGAUAUAAAAUCGGAGAGGUUGAACUGUUUACAUUUACCUAAUGCUCAAGUAAACAAAUCAGAGCCUGAGUGGUGGGGUUUCCGGCAGGGCGAGGGCCAGACCCCCUCCUGCGCAGGGGAAGCAGAGUGCGGCGAGGGGGAGGGGGCUGCCGAUGUCAUUCCCGUCACUUCUCAGGGGCUGAGGCCAGUGUCCGCCCCACCCCCAAUUCUCCCCACCCCCAAGCCUGCGCCCUCCUUGACCCCAUGUGGCCCAUCUAGAGUCCACCCGCAGAGGAAGCUUCCAGAAAAGCGCAAGAGGCCCCCUUGCUCAGGACUGCGGGUGUGCACAGAGGAGCAAGGGACUGGCAGACUUGCCCUCUUUUGGCACAGACCAUCGGUGCCAAAGCAGGGAGACAUCCCUCCCUGGACAAGGUCGGCGGCCACCAGACAUCACCUGGCCUCCCCCAUCCCCACCCCCCAGGCAUGCCUGGGCCUCCACACCCCCCCAAGCGGCCCUGUCAAGAGCACAGGGGAAAAGGGGUUAAGCACUCAGUGUCAGCCCGAGGGAGAAACUUCCCUCUUUCCAGGCACUCCCCCCGCACCCCGCCCCCCACCCGGGGAGGGGGGUGUCCUCGACAACUAUUGUCACCCAAGAGAACUGCGUCUCAGAAGAGACACCCUCCCCCCCACACCCACUUCCCCCAUCACUGGUGGUGGCAGAAGCUGUUUGCUGUCCCAGUGCAAGGCCUGACCGUAGCCUCUAAAACACCAACAGUUUCAACUUGACUGGGGGGAGGGGGGCAGGGGGGCUGGCACGCCUUUUAAAUGCAGAUUUGAACUCUUCACCCGGGGUCAGACAGCUGCGCUCCUCCAGCCCCAACAGAGGCCGGCGCCGGGGCCACUCAAGCUCACACUUUCACAGUUUUUUUCCUGCCUUCCCAGGAGGCCAGCCCAUUGAAGGAAUCAGAUGCCUCCCUCCCUAAAACCCCAAACCCACACCCGCCUCUCGGCUUACCAGGGGCAUGAACCCCACUGUCCCCCUGGAGGCGGCAGCCCUCGGACCGGCCGGCCAGCUGGCUGGGUGGGUGGGUGUGUGGGUGCCCCGGGCACAGCAAGGGUGCAAGAGGAUGGUUAUCACAUUCAGACGAAGGGACGCUAAGAGCAAUAGUGAGAAAACCCUCAGACUUAACCGCUGCUCUGCAGGAAGGCGCAUCCUUGGUGGGACAGGGUUUACAGGUGCUCUUUCUGCCAGCAGAAACCAGGACUGCCAUCCCGGCUACUCGACUCAUCAGGGCUGCAGCGUCAGGACUUAGAACCUCUAGCUCUGAGACGUCACUUCAGGAGUGAACAAGAGAAAAACAUGAACAGCCUUGAAUUAAAAAACAAAACAAAAACAAAACAAAAACCAGUCUAGGACGAGGACUUCUUGCCUCCAUCACAUAUCCCCCCUUCCCUUAUCCUCCUGUGCAAGGCGGUUUCUGAUUCUUUCCUUGUCACCCUCUGCCCCUCCCUUUCUCCACCUUCAACCAGAGAAGCCCACUGGCCCUAGAUGGGGAAAGAAGGCUCCACCGGUUGACAUUAAGAUAAGGUGAGAGGUGAGAAAUCCAAAUAAACACUAAGGGAAGAGCGAUGGGUUUUUUGGGUUGCUGGGAUUGGGGACCAGGUCAACGGCUGCACCUGGGCAGCCCUGGAGCCUCCAAAAGACAAGGCCCUCCAAGCAACACGGCAAUCAACCCAGGCCCACUGACUAGGAGGCCCACGUGGCAUCAGAGGACAGGGCACUGAUCACCCACGUGUCUCAGGUCCUGAUUCAGGCCCAUCCUGCCACAGACCAAUAAGCUACCACCAACAGGUGGUUUCCAGAAGCUCCCUGCAGCCUGCCACCGACUGCACAAAUAAAGAGGGGGUGACGCAUAGAGCCUAAGACUGUUGUCAUAAACACACCUGAAUUCACUCAAGUGGAGGCGGUCCUGCCGUGUCCCCUCCCCCGGGUGUGGCCCACUUUGCUGCACUUGCUGCUGUUCUGUGUUUGAAUGGCCUUCGAAGUCAGGUGGGUCCCUCCACCUCCCACCUGGGUGCCAAGAAACAGUUUACAAAACGUCUGCACAGCAGCAUCAAAUGUUUGCCUCCUCCUCAUCCCAUGAGGGUGUCAGGGGACUCAGACCAUUUUUUAUAGAAGAAGCUGUAGAGAGAUGCAGCCCAUGCCCCUGGACCCCAGGAAGUGGAAGCAGCCAGUUACAAGAGACAAUGGGCAGCUCAGGCUCUCUCAAUAGGAUACCUCAGAAGAGCUCAGGGCACAUCCUGAAAUGCCAGCCCUGCCCCUUCGGAGAGGUGGCCACCAGCCCCCCAGGGCUUCUGUGCCUACGAAACGGGGCUGGUCCGAGAUGAGACGUGCUCCAAGGACCAAGUACACAUGGGCUGUCUGUGAAAGGUGCAAAGUGUCUCAUUCAAAGUUUUCUUGAUAAUGAGUAUGUGUUAAAAUGGUAACGUUUCAGAUAUACUGGGCAAAAGAGAACAUAAUUAAAAUUCACGUCACUGGCUUUUUUUUAACAUUUUAAUGUAGCCACUAGAAAAUUUUCAAUGAUUUAAGUGACUUCCAUACUACGAGGGGGUGCUGUUCUAGAACCUUAGUCUGUGGUUCAAUUUCAGUCUCAGGAGUUAGGUGUUCUUGAGCAGGACGGAGGCAGAAUUCUCUGGUCCGCUCUCAACAGCCCCCUAGAGCUACAGCCUUCCAAUUGCCAAGUGAUACGUCUAAUUGGGUUGAAAAAUCUUAGAAUCCAAAUCACUUAUACCUGCAAUCUGGCCAUGGGUGGGGGGGGGGGUCAGAUGUGCGUCAGAAGGCGGACAAGGCCCGCGGAGUGACACACCCUCACCCAAAACGGUUGUCAAUUACUGCUAAGACCCAUUGUUUGCUUCGAAAAACAGUUAAGUUGUUUAUUGUGGUUUAAUACAAGGAUUGAUUGCCCAUUCCAAGGCUCUGCCUCCUACUCCAGCUGGAUUUCUCCCUAUCAAGGGCAGCGUCCUCUUCUUUUAACAGCCCUUCCCAUAAAAUAUGCCCAGCAGGAGGCCGGUGGCCACCCACCCCCAACACACACACACACACACACAAGUGAGCAGGGAAGGGGGGGCAAGGGGCAGGAGAACACAGACGUGGCCCCUUUCCUAUUAGACAGCGCCUGUCCCAUCACUAGGGAUCACAGGCCAGUCUCAUUUCUCCAUGUAAAUGAACUUUUUAGCCACCUCCUCAAAGAAGAAAAGCUGCACAGAUGCGGAAGGCCCAUCCUGGGGCACACAAUUACAGCCAUUUGCAUUCCUCCAGCAGCAGGAUUAGCAGAGGAAUGUGCUUUGCAGCUUUGUGGGGGGAAAGGAGUUUAGGAAGAAAGGAAUGGGGGGUGUAUUUCUCCUGGGUCCGUCCGUCCAUCCAAAGUUCUAUGAUACACUUCCACUCCUCUGAGAGUCAGAGAGUGGAAAUAACUCCUGCUCAGGCUUUCUAAAGAGGGGGAAGGUUGAAAAGGCGGGGGGUUGGGGGGGGGAGCGGAGGACCGAGUGUAUUAGAACUGCCCCUCCUGGCGCUUUGAUCCCCUCGGUCGCUAGGAGAAACCAACUUUUCUCCUUGGGUUAAUCAAAACCAAAUUACUCAGGAAUGUGGCAGGACAGGUCUGAGCUUCCAGGUCCCUUUGUCUUUGAGGAUUUAAAAUGAAAAAAUAAAUUUUUUAAAGCAGAUGGCAGGGGCUUACAGAGAGGUAACUUGCAAAGUCUGAAGGAACCUUAGACCACAUCCCCCUCCCUCAAAAUAAGUAACUAGAUAAAUAAAUCAAGAGACCCACAAGCCUACUCCAGUCUAGGAGUCAAGAGGUUAUUUUUGUAUAGGUCCAAAACUCAGCAAAACUUCCUAUUUUAUCCUGAUUGAACCUCAUGAAAGAACUCCC
RNAcentral lists this long non-coding RNA (5537 nucleotides) under Sus scrofa (pig). RNAcentral's name for it is "lncRNA (ENSSSCG00000059221.1)". Lineage: Eukaryota; Metazoa; Chordata; Mammalia; Artiodactyla; Suidae. The record is from RNAcentral.